Helianthus annuus (common sunflower) is the source of this 572-nucleotide long non-coding RNA. RefSeq lists it as uncharacterized. The record is from RefSeq and is a predicted model, not a curated record. The transcript is spliced from 4 exons. NCBI's taxonomy places the organism in Eukaryota, Viridiplantae, Streptophyta, Magnoliopsida, Asterales, Asteraceae.
ACCCAAGUGUGUGUUCUGGUCGUGAGUUCUAACAGGAGAAAAAGGGGUUUCCCUAAUGAACCCUGAAAUACACAAAAUCAACCAAAUCAAGAGGGCAAAUCAAGUCUAAAUCGAAAACCAAGCUAGGAUUAGUGAUCACUCGGGCUAGAGGAUCACAAGUUUGACACUAAACAAGCUAGGAAGGAGCUUGGAAAGAAACGGGUCAAAUGGAUGAUGAUUGCGAAGAAUGUUUGCGCGGACGCGAUGAUAAAUCGGCUUAUGAAUUAGCGAUGCUAUGAAUUAACGAUUAUUGAGACAAGGUAUUAAAAGGGGUCAAUAUGUUGAUCCGAACCUGGAGAAUGUUAUAUGCUUCCGGAUGAAGAUCAAGCCACGAGUCAGAACCAAACACAUCUCUCAAUGAAGCUUCCGCAUUCGAUCUUGUUUUGUUUUAAUAAAACUGGAUUAUGUAAACACUUUUAACGAUGUUUUGGAUGUUGUAAACAUGUUCAAAUACUUAUGAUGUAAAAGUUUUGUUAAGUGGCAUUUUUCAUAUAAAAUGCUUACUUUAAUGUUAUGUAAAUGUUUAAAAAUUA